This 425-nucleotide ribosomal RNA is filed under the name uncultured bacterium. Its description in RNAcentral is "bacterial SSU rRNA". It matches the Rfam family "Bacterial small subunit ribosomal RNA", at positions 354 to 796 of the family's 1533-position model. The record is from RNAcentral.
GUGGGGGAUAUUGCACAAUGGGGGAAACCCUGAUGCAGCAACGCCGCGUGAAGGAAGAAGGUCUUCGGAUUGUAAACUUCUGUCCUCAGGGAAGAUAAUGACGGUACCUGAGGAGGAAGCUCCGGCUAACUACGUGCCAGCAGCCGCGGUAAUACGUAGGGAGCGAGCGUUGUCCGGAUUUACUGGGUGUAAAGGGUGCGUAGGCGGAUCUGCAAGUCAGUAGUGAAAUCCCAGGGCUUAACCCUGGAACUGCUAUUGAAACUGUGGGUCUUGAGUGAGGUAGAGGCAGGCGGAAUUCCCGGUGUAGCGGUGAAAUGCGUAGAGAUCGGGAGGAACACCAGUGGCGAAGGCGGCCUGCUGGGCCUUAACUGACGCUGAGGCACGAAAGCAUGGGUAGCAAACAGGAUUAGAAACCCGAGUAGUCC